AUGCGACGUUGUGUCCGUGUUGCCGCGGAGCGCCAAGAUGCUUCUAAACGCCACCAUCCCUCUGUCGGUGAACUUCGACACCUGGGAGGACUACCUCAUCUUCACCUUCCACAUCCUGUUCGCCACGUGCGCCGUGCCGAUCGCCGCCUCGGUGGUCGUCGCCAUCUCUUGCACGCGCUCCCUGCGCGGCCAGAACCGUUUCAUCUUUAUGCUGAACACGAGCGUGAGCGACACGCUGACCGGCUUCUCGGUCUACUACCUCGGCCUCUUCGACGUCCAAGAGGGCUACCCGUCCAGAAACGGGACCUACUACAUCUUCCCCUCGUUCCUCGGAGUCAACGUGCUGACCUUCCUCUUCGCCCAGUUCGACCGCUACUUCGCCGUGUGCCACCCGUUCUUCUACAACCGCCACGUAACCCGAGCUGUGGUCAUCGGGAUCUGCGCCUUCUGCUGGAUCUACACGUACUCCAUCCUCACCGUGCAGAACCUUGUGCCCAUCUCGAAGGCGGCGCAGAUCAACGCGUUCGGCGUGAUGACCCUCCAGAUCAUAGUUUUCGUCAAGGUGUUGAUGACGAUCAAGCUGUACAUCAUAGCCCGGAGCCACCUGGGGAGGGAGGUGCCCAGCCCGGAGCGCGACAACAAGAAGGAGUCGCUGCGCGUCAUCGUGUUCGUGGUCAUCUCCUUCCUGGCGCUGUGGUGUCCGUCCUUCAUCAACAUAAUAGUGAGGCAGCUGACGCAGAAAGGUAUGAGGUUCAGGAACGAGGCCACCAAUCUGUUCGCAAGUAUGGCCCGCCUGAACGCGCUCGUGACCCCGUCAGUGUACAUCUGGGGCAGCCCGGCGCUGCGGGAGGCCGUGUGGAGGACUGUGUGGCGGAGGGUGUUCUGCUGCCGCCGGAGGGCGAGGUGAGAGGCGACUGUGUGUUGUCGUUUUCUGCAAAUGGUGCUAAUUUUAGCGGCAACACGCGCCCUACACUCGAACUAAAUGCAUAUUUGUUAUGUUUGUAUGCGAUACAUUACGCAAACUUUCUCUGUUUUCAGAAUCGGCUUUCACUUGGACGGAGUGAGGAAACAUUGAUGAUGAAACAGCAUCAUGAGGAGAAAUUGUUGAAGAGAAUUACUCUCUCAUCUAUACCGGAUAUAGGUCAAACGAGAGGUAUUUCAGGCAAUCAAUACAGGGAUAUAGACUCAGACAUUUCUUACACUUCUUUUUGGAAACAAUAUUUUAUUCACAGGAAUCAAUAA
Molecule: long non-coding RNA, 1242 nt
Organism: Gasterosteus aculeatus (three-spined stickleback)
Lineage: Eukaryota; Metazoa; Chordata; Actinopteri; Perciformes; Gasterosteidae
Source: Ensembl